AACGAACGCUGGCGGCAGGCUUAACACAUGCAAGUCGAACGGAUCCUUCGGGAUUAGUGGCAGACGGGUGAGUAACGCGUGGGAACGUACCCUUUGCUACGGAAUAACUCAGGGAAACGUGAGCUAAUACCGGAUGUGCUAUACGGGGGAAAGAUAUAUCGGCAAAGGAUCGGCCCGCGAUGGAUUAGCUAGUUGGUGGGGUAAUGGCCUACCACGGCGACGAUCGAUAGCUGGUCUGAGAGGAUGAUCCGCCACACUGGGACUGGGACACGGCCCAGACUCCUACGGGAGGCAGCAGUGGGGAAUAUUGGACAAUGGGCGCAAUCCUGAUCCAGCCAUGCCGCGUGAGUGAUGAAGGUCUUAGGAUUGUAAAGCUCUUUCACCGGUGAAGAUAAUGACGGUAGCCGGAGAAGAAGCCCCGGCUAACUUCGUG
This 433-nucleotide ribosomal RNA is filed under the name uncultured bacterium. RNAcentral describes it as "partial 16S ribosomal RNA". It matches the Rfam family "Bacterial small subunit ribosomal RNA", at positions 29 to 507 of the family's 1533-position model. The record is from RNAcentral.